GCCGGAGUUCCGUAAAGUCAAGGCUUUCGGAAGAGUGUCUUGUAAAUUCAGUAACCUACCGGCGGCGGAAAAAUGCCCGCAGCGGAUCAUUCGGCGGUCGCGUUGUGUUGUCGUCGGUUAUGAAAAACCAAUCUGCGGCGGGGUUUGUCCCUUUUGGGAAUCCUCCGCCUCAUUUAGCAAGUGGUUACUUUCUAU
RNAcentral lists this non-coding RNA (195 nucleotides) under unclassified sequences. Its description in RNAcentral is "RT-7 RNA". It matches the Rfam family "RT-7 RNA". From Rfam's summary of the family: Bacteroidales. Nearby to self-splicing intron genes The record is from Rfam by way of RNAcentral.